UGAACGCUGGCGGCAUGCUUUACACAUGCAAGUCGAACGGUAACAGGUCUUCGGAUGCUGACGAGUGGCGAACGGGUGAGUAAUGUAUCGGAACGUGCCCAGUAGUGGGGAUAACUACUCGAAAGAGUGGCUAAUACCGCAUGAGAACUGAGGUUGAAAGCGGGGGACCUUCGGGCCUCGCGCUACUGGAGCGGCCGAUAUCAGAUUAGGUAGUUGGUGGGGUAAAGGCCUACCAAGCCGACGAUCUGUAGCUGGUCUGAGAGGACGACCAGCCACACUGGGACUGAGACACGGCCCAGACUCCUACGGGAGGCAGCAGUGGGGAAUUUUGGACAAUGGACGCAAGUCUGAUCCAGCAAUGCCGCGUGCAGGACGAAGGCCUCGGUUGUAACUGCUUUGUACUAGAACGAAAAGG
This 415-nucleotide ribosomal RNA is filed under the name uncultured bacterium. RNAcentral describes it as "bacterial SSU rRNA". It matches the Rfam family "Bacterial small subunit ribosomal RNA", at positions 30 to 453 of the family's 1533-position model. The record is from RNAcentral.